Molecule: ribosomal RNA, 497 nt
Filed under: uncultured bacterium
Lineage: Bacteria
Description: partial 16S ribosomal RNA
Rfam family: Bacterial small subunit ribosomal RNA
Source: RNAcentral
GAUGAACGCUGGCGGCGUGCCUAAUACAUGCAAGUCGAGCGAACAGACGAGGAGCUUGCUCCUCUGACGUUAGCGGCGGACGGGUGAGUAACACGUGGAUAACCUACCUAUAAGACUGGGAUAACUUCGGGAAACCGGAGCUAAUACCGGAUAAUAUAUUGAACCGCAUGGUUCAAUAGUGAAAGACGGUUUUGCUGUCACUUAUAGAUGGAUCCGCGCCGCAUUAGCUAGUUGGUAAGGUAACGGCUUACCAAGGCAACGAUGCGUAGCCGACCUGAGAGGGUGAUCAGCCACACUGGAACUGACACAAGGUCCAGACUCCUACGGAAGGCAGCCGUAGGGAAUCUUCCGCAAUGGGCGAAAGCUUGACGGAGCAACGCCGCGUGAGUGAUGAUGGUCUUCGGAUCGUAAAACUCUGUUAUUAGGGAAGAACAAAUGUGUAAGUAACUAUGCACGUCUUGACGGUGCCUAAUCAGAAAGCCCCGGCUCACUACGUG